RNAcentral lists this transfer RNA (73 nucleotides) under Dipodomys ordii (Ord's kangaroo rat). It matches the Rfam family "tRNA". From Rfam's summary of the family: Transfer RNA (tRNA) molecules are approximately 80 nucleotides in length. Their secondary structure includes four short double-helical elements and three loops (D, anti-codon, and T loops). The record is from Rfam by way of RNAcentral. Lineage: Eukaryota; Metazoa; Chordata; Mammalia; Rodentia; Heteromyidae.
GGGAAUGUGGCUUUGUGGUGGUAGAGUGCGUGCCUUGCAUGCAUGAGGCCCUCAGUUAGAUUCCUAGCAUCCA